RNAcentral lists this small RNA (28 nucleotides) under Bombyx mori (domestic silkworm). Its description in RNAcentral is "ovarian small RNA-17122". Lineage: Eukaryota; Metazoa; Arthropoda; Insecta; Lepidoptera; Bombycidae. The record is from RNAcentral.
GCUGCAAAAAGGGCAGCCGGUGAGUCAU